UACAGAGGGUGCGAGCGUUAAUCGGAGUUACUGGGCGUAAAGGGCGCGUAGGCGGUUAUAUAAGUGAGAUGUGAAAUCCCUGGCUUAACCUAGGAACUGCAUCUCAUACUGUAUGACUGGAGUAUUGUAGAGGGUAGUGGAAUUUCCGGUGUAGCGGUGAAAUGCGUAGAGAUCGGAAGGAACACCAGUGGCGAAGGCGGCUACCUGGACAAAUACUGACGCUGAGGCGCGAGAGCGUGGGGAGCAACGAGG
RNAcentral lists this ribosomal RNA (252 nucleotides) under uncultured bacterium. RNAcentral describes it as "partial 16S ribosomal RNA". It matches the Rfam family "Bacterial small subunit ribosomal RNA", at positions 524 to 776 of the family's 1533-position model. The record is from RNAcentral.